This 464-nucleotide ribosomal RNA is filed under the name Vreelandella stevensii. RNAcentral describes it as "partial 16S ribosomal RNA". It matches the Rfam family "Bacterial small subunit ribosomal RNA", at positions 338 to 794 of the family's 1533-position model. The record is from RNAcentral. Lineage: Bacteria; Pseudomonadati; Pseudomonadota; Gammaproteobacteria; Oceanospirillales; Halomonadaceae.
CCUACGGGGGGCAGCAGUGGGGAAUAUUGGACAAUGGGCGAAAGCCUGAUCCAGCCAUGCCGCGUGUGUGAAGAAGGCCUUCGGGUUGUAAAGCACUUUCAGUGGGGAAGAAAGCCUUGGGGCUAAUACCCUCGAGGAAGGACAUCACCCACAGAAGAAGCACCGGCUAACUCCGUGCCAGCAGCCGCGGUAAUACGGAGGGUGCGAGCGUUAAUCGGAAUUACUGGGCGUAAAGCGCGCGUAGGCGGUCUGAUAAGCCGGUUGUGAAAGCCCCGGGCUCAACCUGGGAACGGCAUCCGGAACUGUCAGGCUAGAUUGCAGGAGAGGAAGGUAGAAUUCCCGGUGUAGCGGUGAAAUGCGUAGAGAUCGGGAGGAAUACCAGUGGCGAAGGCGGCCUUCUGGACUGACACUGACGCUGAGGUGCGAAAGCGUGGGUAGCAAACAGGAUUAGAUACCCGGGUAGU